CUUCUGUCCACGUUGCCAAUCUAAGUAGUAGUGCCGCAGGUACUGAUUUUAAAAGGCUUACCUGUACACGACUACUUAAAUUGGCAACGGUUGGAAUAUCA
RNAcentral lists this microRNA precursor (101 nucleotides) under Lytechinus variegatus (green sea urchin). RNAcentral describes it as "microRNA lva-mir-252b precursor". Its record names the gene lva-mir-252b. The stretch from base 13 to 87 matches the Rfam family "mir-252 microRNA precursor family". The record is from miRBase by way of RNAcentral. Lineage: Eukaryota; Metazoa; Echinodermata; Echinoidea; Temnopleuroida; Toxopneustidae.